Molecule: RNase P RNA, 516 nt
Filed under: bovine gut metagenome
Description: Bacterial RNase P class A
Rfam family: Bacterial RNase P class A
About the family: Ribonuclease P (RNase P) is a ubiquitous endoribonuclease, found in archaea, bacteria and eukarya as well as chloroplasts and mitochondria. Its best characterised activity is the generation of mature 5'-ends of tRNAs by cleaving the 5'-leader elements of precursor-tRNAs.
Source: RNAcentral
CAGCCGGAUAAUCGCGCGGGGUAAAUUAAUACCUUGUGAGGAAAGUCCGUGCAUCCAAGGACAGCUCGCCGGAGAAACUCCGGACGGCGUGAGCCGGUGGAUCGGACCACAGAAAGGGGUAAACAAUUCAGAAUAUUGCUGAGUUUGUAACCCAAAAGACUGCCGAUGGAUUAUAUGGUGGGCACCCCACCCUAACCCUCCCCAUAAGGGGAGGGAAUUCUCGCCCCUUACGGUGAGAGUCAGAGAGGGGUUAACUAUUAAUCACAGGCGAUGGUGCAAAGGUGAGGUAAGAGCUCACCGGGUAUACUGAGAAGUAUAUGCCAGGCAACCCCCGAGCGGAUGCAAGAUUGAAUCAGGCGUUUGAGGUGUCCGCCAAGCCUGAAAAAUCGCUAGAGAUCAGGAGUAAUCCUGAUACCAGACAGAUGAUUAUCGGGGUAAAUAAUUAUCCCCUGUUAACAGAGCAAACAACCGGUUUGAAGUUAGCAGAAAAACAGAACACGGCUUAUGAGCUGCUUU